GUCCUUUAGUAUUAUUUAAGGUCAGGCCUGCCCAAUGAUUAAUUAAAUGGCCGCAGUAUUUUGACUGUGCAAAGGUAGCAUAAUCAUUAGUUUCUUAAUUAGAAGCUGGUAUGAAGGGUUCGAUGAAAAAUUAACUGUCUUUUUUAAAAUUUUAGAAUUUUAUUUUUGAGUUAAAAAGCUUAAAUUUUUUAUAAAGACGAGAAGACCCUAUAGAGUUUUACAGUUUUUUGAUUAUGAUUUAAAGGUUUAUUUUUAUUUAGAUUUAAUUUUCUGAUUUAUUGGGGUGAUUAGAAAAUUAAAUUAACUUUUCUUAGGUUUUACAUUUAUAAGUGUUUUUAUGAUCCUUUAUUUAGGAUUUUAAGAUUAAAUUACCUUAGGGAUAACAGCGUAAUUCUUUUUGAGAGUUCUUAUUAAAAAAAGAGUUUGCGACCUCGAUGUUGGAUUAAAAUAAAUGUUAGGUGCAGAAGCUUAACUAUUAGGUCUGUUCGACCUUUAAAAUUUUACAUGAUCU
This 511-nucleotide ribosomal RNA is filed under the name Menimus hydrovatinus. RNAcentral's name for it is "partial 16S ribosomal RNA". It matches the Rfam family "Bacterial large subunit ribosomal RNA", at positions 1832 to 2606 of the family's 2925-position model. Lineage: Eukaryota; Metazoa; Arthropoda; Insecta; Coleoptera; Tenebrionidae. The record is from RNAcentral.